RNAcentral lists this ribosomal RNA (240 nucleotides) under uncultured Lactobacillus sp. RNAcentral describes it as "partial 16S ribosomal RNA". It matches the Rfam family "Bacterial small subunit ribosomal RNA", at positions 122 to 356 of the family's 1533-position model. Lineage: Bacteria; Bacillati; Bacillota; Bacilli; Lactobacillales; Lactobacillaceae. The record is from RNAcentral.
UAACCUGCCCAAGUGAUCGGGAUAACACCUGGAAACAGAUGCUAAUACCGGAUAAUAACAGAUGAUGCCUAUCAACUGUUUAAAAGAUGGUUCUGCUAUCACUCUUGGAUGGACCUGCGGUGCAUUAGCUAGUUGGUAGGGUAACGGCCUACCAAGGCGAUGAUGCAUAGCCGAGUUGAGAGACUGAUCGGCCACAUUGGGACUGAGACACGGCCCAAACUCCUACGGGAGGCAGCAGCG